RNAcentral lists this unclassified non-coding RNA (596 nucleotides) under Octopus bimaculoides (California two-spot octopus). RNAcentral describes it as "sestrin homolog". Lineage: Eukaryota; Metazoa; Mollusca; Cephalopoda; Octopoda; Octopodidae. The record is from RNAcentral.
AUGGUGUUGGUGGUGGUGAUGAUGAUGAUGGUGGUGGUGGUGGUGGUGCUGGUGGUGAGAGAGAAAAUGGCAAAGUACAACUACAACAAGACGACGAUGAUGAUGAUGAUGACAAUGAUGAUGAUGGUGAGGAUGUGGUUAUGACAGUGGACGAUGAUAACAGGAACAUUGACGACGAUGACGAUGACGAAAUGUUUGACGACGACGCGAGCAGGCAGGGCGAAGGACACGAGCAGUCGCCCACGGAUUCUGAACCGACGACCGGAAGCAGACAAACAGCAGCGGCAAAGACUAUAAACUCAACAUCAACAGCAGCGACGACGACAACAACAACAACAAAACCAACUACAACAUCAACAGCAGCAGCAUCAGGCCCCUUGGCGGAGACUUUGACGGCCGGAAAGAAAGACCCUGUGAGCAAGCCAGCAAACAAGGAAGUCAUCUUUCUAUGAACAAUAACAAGUGGUGCCACUGAGACUUCAUACACACACACACACACACACACACACACACACACUCCAGUACUUCACAGAUGCCCUCCCCCACCACUCCAAUAUAUUUAUAUAGACUGCUAACAUUAUAUUGCUGUCCCUCCC